This 71-nucleotide transfer RNA is filed under the name Camelus bactrianus (Bactrian camel). It matches the Rfam family "tRNA". From Rfam's summary of the family: Transfer RNA (tRNA) molecules are approximately 80 nucleotides in length. Their secondary structure includes four short double-helical elements and three loops (D, anti-codon, and T loops). The record is from Rfam by way of RNAcentral. RNAcentral also lists the same sequence under 2 other names. Lineage: Eukaryota; Metazoa; Chordata; Mammalia; Artiodactyla; Camelidae.
GAGGGUCUAGCUCAGUGGCAGAGCGCAUGCUUAGCAUGCACUAGGUCCUGGGUUCAAUCCCCAGUCCCUCC